RNAcentral lists this transfer RNA (73 nucleotides) under Ovis aries (sheep). It matches the Rfam family "tRNA". From Rfam's summary of the family: Transfer RNA (tRNA) molecules are approximately 80 nucleotides in length. The record is from Rfam by way of RNAcentral. Lineage: Eukaryota; Metazoa; Chordata; Mammalia; Artiodactyla; Bovidae.
UCCCUGGUGGGCCAGUGGUUAAGACUCCUUACUGCCCGUGCAGGAAGUGUAGGUUCAAACCCUGCUCAGGGAA